CUGCAGCCCGAGUGGUGAUCGAUUUUAUUGAGCCUAAAGCGUCCGUAGCCGGACUAGUAAACCCUUGGGUAAAUGGGGCAGCUUAACUGUCCAAAUUCCGAGGGGACUGCUAGUCUUGGGACCGGGAGAGGUCAGAGGUACUCAAGGGGUAGGGGCUAAAUCCUGUAAUCCUUUGGGGACCACCAGUGGCGAAGGCGUCUGACUAGAACGGAUCCGACGGUAAGGGACGAAACCCUGGGGCGCGAACCGGAUUAGAUACCCGAGUAGUCC
Molecule: ribosomal RNA, 270 nt
Filed under: uncultured archaeon
Lineage: Archaea
Description: partial 16S ribosomal RNA
Rfam family: Archaeal small subunit ribosomal RNA
Source: RNAcentral